RNAcentral lists this ribosomal RNA (396 nucleotides) under uncultured bacterium. RNAcentral describes it as "bacterial SSU rRNA". It matches the Rfam family "Bacterial small subunit ribosomal RNA", at positions 28 to 429 of the family's 1533-position model. The record is from RNAcentral.
GACGAACGCUGGCGGCGUGCUUAACACAUGCAAGUCGAGCGGUAAGGCCCUUUCGGGGGUACACGAGCGGCGAACGGGUGAGUAACACGUGGGUGACCUGCCCUUAGCUCUGGGAUAAGCCUGGGAAACUGGGUCUAAUACCGGAUAUGACUCCAUGACGCAUGUUGUGGGGUGGAAAGCCUUGUGCGGCUAGGGAUGGGCCCGCGGCCUAUCAGCUUGUUGGUGGGGUGANGGCCUACCAAGGCGACGACGGGUAGCCGGCCUGAGAGGGCGACCGGCCACACUGGGACUGAGACACGGCCCAGACUCCUACGGGAGGCAGCAGUGGGGAAUCUUGCGCAAUGGGCGAAAGCCUGACGCAGCGACGCCGCGUGAGGGAUGAUGGCCUGGUGUAAC